Molecule: small nuclear RNA, 106 nt
Organism: Otolemur garnettii (small-eared galago)
Lineage: Eukaryota; Metazoa; Chordata; Mammalia; Primates; Galagidae
Gene: U4
Rfam family: U4 spliceosomal RNA
About the family: U4 small nuclear RNA (U4 snRNA) is a component of the major U2-dependent spliceosome. The structure of U4 snRNA from yeast and human has been reported. U4 snRNA presents a k-turn RNA motif in the 5p-SL related to recognition of Snu13 protein.
Source: Ensembl
AGCUUUGCGCAGUGGCAGUAUUGUAGCCAAUGAGGUUUAUCUGAGGUGCGAUUAUUGUUAAUAGAACAUUCAUUUAAGCUUCAAAUAUUUGAGUGCCCAAUAUGUG